AGUGAACGCUGGCGGUAGGCCUAACACAUGCAAGUCGAACGGCAGCACAGUAAGAGCUUGCUCUUACGGGUGGCGAGUGGCGGACGGGUGAGGAAUACAUCGGAAUCUACUUUUUCGUGGGGGAUAACGUAGGGAAACUUACGCUAAUACCGCAUACGACCUACGGGUGAAAGCAGGGGAUCUUCGGACCUUGCGCGAUUGAAUGAGUCGGUGUCGGAUUAGCUAGUUGGCGGGGUAAAGGCCCACCCAGGCGACGAUCCGUAGCUGGUCUGAGAGGAUGAUCAGCCACACUGGAACUGAGACACGGUCCAGACGCCUACGGGAGGCAGCAGUGGGGAAUAUUGGACAAUGGGGGCAAGCCUGAUCCAGCCAUACCGCGUGGGUGAAGAAGGCCUUCGGGUUGUAAAGCCCUUUUGUUGGGAAAGAAAAGCAGCAGGUUAAUACCCCGCUGUUCUGACGGUACCCAAAGAAUAAGCACCGGCUAACUUCGUG
Molecule: ribosomal RNA, 492 nt
Filed under: uncultured bacterium
Lineage: Bacteria
Description: partial 16S ribosomal RNA
Rfam family: Bacterial small subunit ribosomal RNA
Source: RNAcentral